GAUGAACGCUGGCGGCGUGCCUAAUACAUGCAAGUCGAGCGAACAGACGAGGAGCUUGCUCCUCUGACGUUAGCGGCGGACGGGUGAGUAACACGUGGAUAACCUACCUAUAAGACUGGGAUAACUUCGGGAAACCGGAGCUAAUACCGGAUAAUAUAUUGAACCGCAUGGUUCAAUAGUGAAAGACGGUUUUGCUGUCACUUAUAGAUGGAUCCGCGCCGCAUUAGCUAGUUGGUAAGGUAACGGCUUACCAAGGCAACGAUGCGUAGCCGACCUGAGAGGGUGAUCGGCCACACUGGAACUGAGGCACGGUCCAGACUCCUACGGGAGGCAGCAGUAGGGAAUCUUCCGCAAUGGGCGAAAGCCUGACGGAGCAACGCCGCGUGAGUGAUGAAGGUCUUCGGAUCGUAAAACUCUGUUAUUAGGGAAGAGCAAAUGUGUAAGUAACUAUGCACGUCUUGACGGUACCUAAUCAGAAAGCCACGGCUAACUACGUG
Molecule: ribosomal RNA, 497 nt
Filed under: uncultured bacterium
Lineage: Bacteria
Description: partial 16S ribosomal RNA
Rfam family: Bacterial small subunit ribosomal RNA
Source: RNAcentral